RNAcentral lists this ribosomal RNA (388 nucleotides) under uncultured eukaryote. RNAcentral describes it as "SSU rRNA". It matches the Rfam family "Eukaryotic small subunit ribosomal RNA", at positions 587 to 972 of the family's 1831-position model. The record is from RNAcentral.
AGCUCCAAUAGCGUAUAUUAAAGUUGCUGCAGUUAAAAAGCUCGUAGUUGAAGUGCGUCCCCGGGCGGGCGUCGGGUACAAUGUACCCAGCGUGGUGCUCGGGGAUCUCCUUGCGGGGUGGCGGGGGUGGCAUUAGGUUGUCGUCCCCGGUCUACUGCUCCGCAUCGUUUACUGUGAGGAAAUGUGAGUGUUUAAAGCGGGCGGUAGCCGCUGGUAACGUUUAGCAUGGGAUAAUAAGAUAGGACGGCGGUGCUAUUUUGUUGGUUUGCACAGCGUCGUAAUGAUGAAUAGGGACAGUUGGGGGUAUUUAUAUUGUGGUGUCAGAGGUGAAAUUCUUGGAUUACUACAAGAUAAACAAGUGCGAAAGCAUUUACCAAGGAUGUUUUCA